RNAcentral lists this ribosomal RNA (468 nucleotides) under uncultured bacterium. Its description in RNAcentral is "partial 16S ribosomal RNA". It matches the Rfam family "Bacterial small subunit ribosomal RNA", at positions 28 to 507 of the family's 1533-position model. The record is from RNAcentral.
GACGAACGCUGGCGGCGUGCUUAACACAUGCAAGUCGAACGGAAAGGCCCUGCUUUUGUGGGGUGCUCGAGUGGCGAACGGGUGAGUAACACGUGAGUAACCUGCCCUUGACUUUGGGAUAACUUCAGGAAACUGGGGCUAAUACCGGAUAGGAGCUCCUGCUGCAUGGUGGGGGUUGGAAAGUUUCGGCGGUUGGGGAUGGACUCGCGGCUUAUCAGCUUGUUGGUGGGGUAGUGGCUUACCAAGGCUUUGACGGGUAGCCGGCCUGAGAGGGUGAUCGGCCACAUUGGGACUGAGAUACGGCCCAGACUCCUACGGGAGGCAGCAGUGGGGAAUAUUGCACAAUGGGCGGAAGCCUGAUGCAGCAACGCCGCGUGCGGGAUGACGGCCUUCGGGUUGUAAACCGCUUUCGCCUGUGACGAAGCGUGAGUGACGGUAAUGGGUAAAGAGGCACCGGCUAACUACGUG